ACCAUUUUGGCGGAGAAGCGCAUGAAGUUUAGGGCUUUAAAACGGGAUACCAAGUGGUG
RNAcentral lists this transfer RNA (59 nucleotides) under Brachyuropus grewingkii. Its description in RNAcentral is "tRNA-Leu". Lineage: Eukaryota; Metazoa; Arthropoda; Malacostraca; Amphipoda; Acanthogammaridae. The record is from RNAcentral.